UACGAGAGGCCCAAACGUUAUUCGGAAUUACUGGGCUUAAAGAGUUCGUAGGCGGCGCAGAAAGUAGGGUGUGAAAGCCCUCGCUUAACCGAGGAAUUGCGCCCUAAACUACUGUGCUUGAGGAACCUAGAGGUGAGCAGAACAGAUGGUGGAGCGGUGAAAUGCGUUGAUAUCAUCUGGAAUACCGGAGGCGAAGGCGGCUCACUGGGGGUUUUCUGACGCUGAG
This 226-nucleotide ribosomal RNA is filed under the name uncultured bacterium. RNAcentral describes it as "partial 16S ribosomal RNA". It matches the Rfam family "Bacterial small subunit ribosomal RNA", at positions 524 to 750 of the family's 1533-position model. The record is from RNAcentral.